This 120-nucleotide non-coding RNA is filed under the name Massilia sp. Root351. Its description in RNAcentral is "ZMP/ZTP riboswitch aptamer (pfl RNA motif)". It matches the Rfam family "ZMP/ZTP riboswitch aptamer (pfl RNA motif)". From Rfam's summary of the family: Previously known as pfl RNA. ZMP is also known as AICAR. Lineage: Bacteria; Pseudomonadati; Pseudomonadota; Betaproteobacteria; Burkholderiales; Oxalobacteraceae. The record is from Rfam by way of RNAcentral. RNAcentral also lists the same sequence under 1 other name.
UACGUCUCACGUGACUGGCGAAAAGCCGGGUCUGCGCUUGCGCGAUCUGUCGGCGAAAGGUGGGCAUCCACCGGGGAACGUGAGAUUUCAAAUCAACAGCCGUUCGCCUGGGCAGCCACC